RNAcentral lists this ribosomal RNA (254 nucleotides) under uncultured bacterium. Its description in RNAcentral is "partial 16S ribosomal RNA". It matches the Rfam family "Bacterial small subunit ribosomal RNA", at positions 524 to 776 of the family's 1533-position model. The record is from RNAcentral.
UACGUAGGGGGCAAGCGUUGUCCGGAUUUAUUGGGCGUAAAGAGCUCGUAGGCGGUUCGGCAAGUCAGAUGUAAAAACUCCAGGCUCAACUUGGAGAGGCCAUCUGAUACUGCCGUGACUAGAGUCCGGUAGAGGAGCACGGAAUUCCUGGUGUAGCGGUGAAAUGCGCAGAUAUCAGGAGGAACACCAGCGGCGAAGGCGGUGCUCUGGGCCGGAACUGACGCUGAGGAGCGAAAGCGUGGGGAGCGAACAGG